Molecule: ribosomal RNA, 468 nt
Filed under: uncultured bacterium
Lineage: Bacteria
Description: partial 16S ribosomal RNA
Rfam family: Bacterial small subunit ribosomal RNA
Source: RNAcentral
GACGAACGCUGGCGGCGUGCUUAACACAUGCAAGUCGAACGGAAAGGCCCUGCUUUUGUGGGGUGCUCGAGUGGCGAACGGGUGAGUAACACGUGAGUAACCUGCCCUUGACUUUGGGAUAACUACAGGAAACUGGGGCUAAUACCGGAUAGGAGCUCCUGCUGCAUGGUGGGGGUUGGAAAGUUUCGGCGGUUGGGGAUGGACUCGCGGCUUAUCAGCUUGUUGGUGGGGUAGUGGCUUACCAAGGCUUUGACGGGUAGCCGGCCUGAGAGGGUGACCGGCCACAUUGGGACUGAGAUACGGCCCAGACUCCUACGGGAGGCAGCAGUGGGGAAUAUUGCACAAUGGGCGGAAGCCUGAUGCAGCAACGCCGCGUGCGGGAUGACGGCCUUCGGGUUGUAAACCGCUUUCGCCUGUGACGAAGCGUGAGUGACGGUAAUGGGUAAAGAAGCACCGGCUAAUUACGUG